Molecule: ribosomal RNA, 23 nt
Filed under: Ostrya virginiana (American hop-hornbeam)
Lineage: Eukaryota; Viridiplantae; Streptophyta; Magnoliopsida; Fagales; Betulaceae
Also listed under: 5 other names
Source: RNAcentral
GGGUGCGAUCAUACCAGCGCUAC